AGCGAACGCUGGCGGCAGGCUUAACACAUGCAAGUCGAGCGGGCCCUUCGGGGUCAGCGGCGGACGGGUGAGUAACGCGUGGGAAUGUGCCUUCUGGUCUGGAAUAACCCUGGGAAACUAGGGCUAAUACCGGAUACGCCCUUUUGGGGAAAGGUUUACUGCCGGAAGAUCGGCCCGCGUCUGAUUAGCUAGUUGGUGGGGUAACGGCCUACCAAGGCGACGAUCAGUAGCUGGUCUGAGAGGAUGAUCAGCCACACUGGGACUGAGACACGGCCCAGACUCCUACGGGAAGCAGCAGUGGGGAAUAUUGGACAAUGGGCGCAAGCCUGAUCCAGCCAUGCCGCGUGAGUGAUGAAGGCCUUAGGGUUGUAAAGCUCUUUUAUCCGGGACGAUAAUGACGGUACCGGAGGAAUAAGCCCCGGCUAACUUCGUG
This 433-nucleotide ribosomal RNA is filed under the name uncultured bacterium. RNAcentral's name for it is "partial 16S ribosomal RNA". It matches the Rfam family "Bacterial small subunit ribosomal RNA", at positions 29 to 507 of the family's 1533-position model. The record is from RNAcentral.